Long non-coding RNA from Megalops cyprinoides (Indo-Pacific tarpon), 598 nucleotides. RefSeq lists it as uncharacterized. The record is from RefSeq and is a predicted model, not a curated record. The transcript is spliced from 5 exons. Lineage: Eukaryota; Metazoa; Chordata; Actinopteri; Elopiformes; Megalopidae.
GGGAGCAGUUAGGAGGUUAACAUUUGGAGACACGUGUUUGCAAUGGAAAAACAGUUUAUGGUUAUUUUAAAACAUUUUGGCAUAUAUGGUAUGGCUUCCACUGUAAGGCCUCGUCAUGUAGUUUGCAUGUUUGGCAACUGCAAUACAUUAGCCGGCAGGUUAGACCUGCUGUUCUGAUUUUAUUCAUGCCUGCUGUGUGCUCGGGAGACCACAUGGGCACGACUGAAUUUUCGCCACUUUUGUGGGUAAUUGGGUGUGGGUGAGGCCUUCGCUUUCCAGUGGAAUAUGAAGUGGAACAACGGAACGGAAGCUGCUCAAGGAUUGUGCUGGUCCGACGUCUGACUUGGGAUGCCGGAUGCCGCUUUGAACCAGAUGGAGGUUCAUGCUGUGGCUUGACUUUCAAGAUUGUAUUGAUUUGGGACCAUUUUUUGGAUGGACUUCCAACUCAUCUAAGACACUUGGGUGUUCAAAGCAAAGCACACUGUUCUCUACACUCCUGUUGCAGAAUGUCUGGUCUUUCCAGGAUAUUGAAUUUUCACUGCAAACUGAAAUUGUUUCUAAAACUUGUAUUCAUUGGAUGUCAUUGACCAAUUGUACA